GCACUGCCUUUGACCCGGCGGGGUGCCCUGCCCGCGGCGCCGCUGGGCCAGGGAAAAAAAAGUGCUAGAGCGAAACGCUUGUUCAUAACUGGAGCUGCUCGGCCCGACCCGGGUAGCGCUUUUAAAAGCAAGUGACAGCU
This 140-nucleotide small nucleolar RNA is filed under the name Cariama cristata (Red-legged seriema). Lineage: Eukaryota; Metazoa; Chordata; Aves; Cariamiformes; Cariamidae. The record is from RNAcentral.